ACAAACACACCACCACCACACGAACUGGAGUCUUCUCAGUCCUCGCACUCCGCAGAAGCGCAGAGGCUCCUAAACCCCCUCCUAGACCCCGCUGCCGCUUGCCAGCCACUCUCCUCCGCGUCGCUCUCCGCCGUCUCCCCGGACGUCCCGGAACCUUCUAGAUUGAUUGAAGGGGGGAUAUAGCCAUCGGCGUCAGCGCGCGUGAUGGAGGUCAGGGGGCUGGGGCAGCUCCUGGCGGCGCUGGCCGCCGCGUUCUUCGUCCGCGCCAUCGCGGGACCGGGCCCUGCCCUACUUCCGCCGGCGGAGGACACGGACGACGACGAGGCCGGCGAGGGAGGCGGCGGCGGUGGCGUGCCGCCCGUGACCAUCCGGUGGGCCCGCAUCACCUGCGCGCUGAUGAACAAGCGCGGGGAAGUGGCAAGGUUCCUGCUGUCAAAUGUGUCAGGGAAGGCGAAACCGGGGAGGCUGUUAGCACUCAUGGGACCGUCGGGCUCUGGCAAAACAACUCUGCUCAAUGUGCUAGCAGGGCAGCUCACGGCAUCGUCUUCCUUGCACCUUUCCGGGUUUCUGUAUGUCAAUGGUCGGCCCGUCUCGAAGGGCGGAUAUAAGAUUGCCUUUGUCAGGCAGGAAGACCUGUUCUUCUCGCAGCUUACUGUGCGGGAGACGCUGUCACUUGCUGCUGAGCUCCAGCUUCCUGACUUGUGGACUCCUGAGAGGAAGGAGAGCUAUGUCAAUGAUCUUUUGUUUCGUCUGGGAUUGGUCAAUUGUGCUGAUUCUAUCGUUGGUGAUGCAAAAGUUCGUGGAAUAAGUGGGGGUGAGAAGAAGCGCCUAUCACUUGCAUGUGAACUGAUUGCUAGCCCUUCAGUCAUCUUUGCGGACGAACCAACAACAGGCCUUGAUGCCUUCCAAGCUGAGAAGGUCAUGGAGACUCUUCGUCAGCUUGCUGAGGAUGGGCACACUGUUAUCUGUUCGAUACACCAGCCAAGAGGUUCAGUCUAUGGCAAAUUUGAUGACAUCGUACUACUGUCAGAUGGAGAAAUUGUAUACAUGGGGCCUGCAAAAGAAGAACCUCUAACAUACUUUGCAUCAUUAGGGUAUCAGUGUCCAGAUCAUAUGAACCCUGCUGAGUUCUUGGCUGAUCUCAUUUCCAUUGAUUAUGGAUCAACUGAAAGUGUACAGUCAUCACAGAAAAGGAUUGAGAACCUCAUUGAGGCAUUUUCUAACAAAGAUCUGGUCACUGAAGGUAGCAGUUUAGUUGCAACUCCAGAGGAUCCAGAAUUGUCUGCCAAACUUGUUCGGAAGACUACAAUGAAGAAACGGCAUGGUUGGUGGAGGCAAUUUCGUUUGCUUUUUAAGCGAGCAUGGAUGCAGGCUUUUCGUGAUGGACCAACAAACAAAGUGAGAGCACGGAUGUCUGUUGCUUCAGCAGUUAUAUUUGGAUCUGUGUUCUGGCGAAUGGGAAAAUCUCAAACAUCCAUACAAGACAGGAUGGGACUACUUCAGGUGACAGCCAUAAACACAGCAAUGGCUGCACUGACAAAGACUGUGGGCGUUUUUCCAAAAGAACGGACUAUAGUUGACAGAGAACGAGCAAAAGGUUCCUAUGCACUUGGACCAUAUCUUUCAUCUAAGUUGUUGGCCGAGAUUCCCAUUGGAGCAGCAUUUCCAUUGAUAUUUGGAUCAAUUCUCUAUCCAAUGGCUAAACUUCAGCCAACAUUUUCUAGAUUUGCCAAAUUCUGUGGUAUUGUGACUGUUGAGUCAUUUGCUGCAUCAGCGAUGGGUCUCACUGUUGGAGCAAUGGCUCCUACAACUGAAGCUGCAAUGGCUCUUGGGCCAUCCCUUAUGACAGUGUUUAUUGUAUUUGGAGGAUACUAUGUUAACCCUGACAAUACUCCAGUCAUAUUUCGUUGGAUCCCAAGAAUAUCUCUCAUUAGAUGGGCCUUUCAAGGGCUUUGCAUUAACGAGUUCAAGGGUCUGCAAUUUGAGCAACAACAUUCAUAUGACAUUCAAACGGGUGAACAGGCCUUGGAAAGGUUUUCAUUGGGAGGAAUUAGAAUCGCAGACACUCUAGUUGCACAGGGUAGGAUUCUGAUGUUCUGGUACUGGUCAACCUACCUUCUUCUGAAGAAAAACAGACCGAAGUAUCAGCCGCUCCUGCCCCCAUUGGAAGAAGAUCAAAAUAAGCAGCAGGUGGAAUAAGCAUUUGGUUACAGACUUCCAAAGAAUAAAAUAAGUUUGAGCUGAUGCUCGUCGCACAUCGUUGGUUACUUGGCUGGCUGGAUCACAAUGAUAACUGAAAACCCAUCUUAAGCUCUGUCGUUUGUUUAGUAUAUAUCACAAGUCAGAACGAGGCCUCAUCUUCUCUGCACAGAGUAUCUGGUUAUGAGAGGACCCCAGCAUUAUGGACGUGCCGAGGCAGUCUGGCAGUAUACAAUCCGCCGCCCAGAAGCAAUUUUUUAUUUUCCCAAUUGGCCAAUUGUUGAAGUCAGCUCAAUGAUCUGAGAUGAGAUCGCAGCAGAGCCGUUGUUUCUGUUCAUGAUUGCCUGGAGCUGGCCGGCUGGGGCCAUGACGGUGCAAAUAAACUAUCUCCAAAUCACCGUCCAAAGUACGAGCACGGCAUAAUGGCAGUAGCUACUAGUUUCUUAUGCUUUAAUCUCUGUACGUGUCAGCCUCCGGUUGGCCGGAGUGAGAUAACUAAUCACGCGUCAGCGUACACCUCAGACGCGUGAAGCCCCAUGCCUAUAAAUGCGUGCCCAUUUGGGCUCAAAAUUCUCAUCAGCUUCGAUUGGAAUUCUUCCUCCCUUUCCCUCGAA
Molecule: RNA transcript, 2813 nt
Organism: Sorghum bicolor (sorghum)
Lineage: Eukaryota; Viridiplantae; Streptophyta; Magnoliopsida; Poales; Poaceae
Gene name: ABC transporter G family member 7
Exons: 13
Source: RefSeq, a predicted model, not a curated record